Molecule: ribosomal RNA, 253 nt
Filed under: uncultured bacterium
Lineage: Bacteria
Description: partial 16S ribosomal RNA
Rfam family: Bacterial small subunit ribosomal RNA
Source: RNAcentral
UACGUAGGGUGCAAGCGUUGUCCGGAAUUAUUGGGCGUAAAGAGCUCGUAGGCGGUUUGUCGCGUCUGCUGUGAAAUCCCGAGGCUCAACCUCGGGCCUGCAGUGGGUACGGGCAGACUGGAGUGCGGUAGGGGAGAAUGGAAUUCCUGGUGUAGCGGUGGAAUGCGCAGAUAUCAGGAGGAACACCGAUGGCGAAGGCAGUUCUCUGGGCCGUAACUGACGCUGAGGAGCGAAAGCAUGGGGAGCGAACAGG